UAUAUACUCGGAGGUGAUGAUCUAAAUACAUCUAUUAUGUGAGCAAUGUUCUUCUUGUCAUCUGAUCUGUCAUGUUCACCUAUUAUGUCAAUGCCUCCUUUUAUGCUUUCUAUCUGUCAUGAAUAUGCUUGUUCCUUAAUAAUCCUAGAUUAUACUACAUAGCAUGCUUUAUGUAAUCAUGGUGAUUAGAUCUAGUAUGUUGACCCAUCUUGAUAGCUUGACAUGUUCACCUGUGUUUGUGCCCUGAAAUUGGCUGCAUCGAUAGAGGAGAUCAUGAGAGGGUCUGCUUCUAUGUAGGGUGGGAGUUUCCAGGAGAUUGACCGGAGGUAGUGGUUUAAAGAUUGCUUUGGAUGAGAUGCAUGAUGUGUUUGUUCAUUGGCUAGAAGUAAAAGUAAAAGAUGAUAGGCUCUUGUUGCCCUUGGUGGUGUUAUAUCAUAUAUACAUAUGUGGAUGCGAUCAACCCUUAUUCAUGAUAUUAAUCUUUACAACAAAUUUGCCUUCAUAUGCAAUCAAUGCUUCAUGUUACGAUUGAUGUAACACCU
Molecule: long non-coding RNA, 542 nt
Filed under: Setaria viridis
Lineage: Eukaryota; Viridiplantae; Streptophyta; Magnoliopsida; Poales; Poaceae
Description: long non-coding RNA (SVIR_LNC007104)
Source: RNAcentral